UACGGGGGAUGCAAGCGUUAUCCGGAAUUAUUGGGCGUAAAGCGUUUGUAGGUGGCUUCUUAAGUCUGCUGUUAAAUAUUGAGGCUCAACCUUGAUCCAGCAACAGAUACUGAUUAGCUAGAGUGUAACAAAGGUAGAAGGAAUUCCCAGUGUAGCGGUGAAAUGCGUAGAUAUUGGGAAGAACACCAGUGGCGAAAGCGUUCUACUAGGUUAUUACUGACACUGAGAAACGAAAGCUAGGGGAGCGAAUGGG
Molecule: ribosomal RNA, 253 nt
Filed under: uncultured bacterium
Lineage: Bacteria
Description: partial 16S ribosomal RNA
Rfam family: Bacterial small subunit ribosomal RNA
Source: RNAcentral